This 220-nucleotide ribosomal RNA is filed under the name uncultured bacterium. RNAcentral's name for it is "partial 16S ribosomal RNA". It matches the Rfam family "Bacterial small subunit ribosomal RNA", at positions 111 to 334 of the family's 1533-position model. The record is from RNAcentral.
UAAUGUCUGGGAAACUGCCUGAUGGAGGGGGGUAACUGCUGGAAACGGUAGCUAAUACCGCAUAACGUCGCAAGACCAAAGUGGGGGACCUUCGGGCCUCAUGCCAUCAGAUGUGCCCAGAUGGGAUUAGCUAGUAGGUGGGGUAACGGCUCACCUAGGCAACGAUCCCUAGCUGGUCUGAGAGGAUGACCAGCCACACUGGAACUGAGACACGGUCCAG